Molecule: unclassified non-coding RNA, 731 nt
Filed under: uncultured fungus
Lineage: Eukaryota; Fungi
Description: partial miscellaneous RNA
Rfam family: 5.8S ribosomal RNA (bases 311-464)
Source: RNAcentral
CUUGGUCAUUUAGAGGAAGUAAAAGUCGUAACAAGGUUUCCGUAGUGAACCUGCGGAAGGAUCAUUAUUGAAAUAAACCUAAUGGGUUGUUGCUGGUUCUCUAUGGGAGCAUGUGCACACCUGUCAUCUUUAUAUCCCCACCUGUGCACUCUUUGUAGACCUGGGUAGCUUUCUGAAUGCCUUGGCCAUUCAGGUUUUGAGGACUGACUUUUCUGUCUCUCCUUAUAUUUCCAGGCCUAUGUUUUAUUCAUAUACCCCAUUGUAUGUUAUAGAAUGUAAUUAAUGGGCCUUUGUGGCUAUAAACCUAUACAACUUUCAGCAACGGAUCUCUUGGCUCUCGCAUCGAUGAAGAACGCAGCGAAAUGCGAUAAGUAAUGUGAAUUGCAGAAUUCAGUGAAUCAUCGAAUCUUUGAACGCACCUUGCGCUCCUUGGUAUUCCGAGGAGCAUGCCUGUUUGAGUGUCAUUAAUAUAUCAACCUCUUUGCAAUUUGAGUGUUGGAUGUGGGGGUUGUAUUUCUUUGCUGGGCUCUCUUUAGUGAGGUCUCAAGCUCCCCUAAAAUGCAUUAGCAGAACAUUUGUUGAAUCGUUCAUUGGUGUGAUAACUAUCUACGCUAUUGACGUGAGCAGUUCAGCUUCUUCUAACAGUCCAUUUAUUUGGACAAUUUUCAUUAAUGUGACCUCAAAUCAGGUAGGACUACCCGCUGAACUUAAGCAUAUCAAUAAGCGGAGGA